CGGCAGCAUGAGCAGAGGAGGACGUCGACAUGCGCCUGAGGCGGUGGGGAGGACUUGACCAAGGGGAGGAGGAGGCGGCAGCAGCAGCAGCAGCAGGGUUUGGUCGGCAGGGACGGCGAAAGAGGAGGAGGAGGCGGCGCAUAGAAGAAGGGAAGAGGAGAGAAGAGGCACCGCCGGCGAUCGAGACGACAGAAGAAGCCGGCAGCCGGCCGCUCCGCCACGCCACCGCGACCUGCUGUGUUUACUUCUUCGGUCCGACGAGGAAGCUUCCUCCGUGAAAUGGAUCCGC
RNAcentral lists this long non-coding RNA (289 nucleotides) under Oryza brachyantha (malo sina). Its description in RNAcentral is "long non-coding RNA (OBRA_LNC002385)". The record is from RNAcentral. Lineage: Eukaryota; Viridiplantae; Streptophyta; Magnoliopsida; Poales; Poaceae.